AUGGGCAACCUGGACAGAGUAGUAGAGGUCGACGGAUCCGUUGGCUCCUGGAGGAUGAGAUUGUGUCAGCUCUGCGUCACUCCCGGGUUAUCAGCUUGUCCAAGCUACAGAAGGUGGCGGGUCACAUGCUUCGCUCAGGCGGGCGACCACGCUGCCACAGUGAGGUCGUUCCUCUGCAGUUUGUCUUCGGCCCUGAGCAGUCCCUGGAAAAGUUCAAAGAGGAGUUCCGUAGGAUGUCAGCAGGACAACUUCCACUACAUUUCUCGGAGUAGACUCCACCCACAGAGGAUCCAGGCUUCUAAGAGGCUGUCUGAGAGUGCUGUUAACACUGAGGGGGCGGGACAGGCCACCCAACCCAAAAAUCACUGUGCUGAUGUGGACGACAGUGCCAGGGCUCCGUCCAAUCAUGGUGCACCAGGAAGAAGACCUGACCACGAAACAGAGGUGGAGAGGGUGAAGCUAGACAGUGAGGUGCAGGGAGAAGAGAAGAAGCCUGCUGUUGGGGAUGUUAGUGAUUCUGGUAGUGACCUAGCCCAGGACCCCUGCAACCCUCCAGCCAAAUCUACCCGGGAUGACUCAAAGGAGGGCCCCAGAUCUCUGUUGAGCUCAGCCGGUGCAACCUCCACAGCCAUGGGGGAUGGACCUCGGGAGAGUUCUGUUGGUGUCUCCACCGGCCAACCCCGACUGAGCUCUGUGGGCAGAAGAGGAGAGGUGAUAGGACCUCAGCUGAGCUCUGUAGGCUCCUCCUUCACGGCCAUGGGGGAUCAAGGCCAUCCCAGCACCCCCCACCUCAAGCCCAGCACCGACCGCUCCUCAGAAAACACCAAGACCCCAUCCGCAGUCAGCCUGGCCGAGUCGGUGCAGUCCACCACCCACAGUGAGUGUCCCUGUCCCCCAGAGCCCAGACCCAGACAACAUCUAGGACCUUAAGUGAUGAGAAGUUACAGCU
RNAcentral lists this long non-coding RNA (949 nucleotides) under Oncorhynchus kisutch (coho salmon). RNAcentral describes it as "lncRNA (ENSOKIG00005044728.1)". The record is from RNAcentral. Lineage: Eukaryota; Metazoa; Chordata; Actinopteri; Salmoniformes; Salmonidae.